Molecule: ribosomal RNA, 253 nt
Filed under: uncultured bacterium
Lineage: Bacteria
Description: partial 16S ribosomal RNA
Rfam family: Bacterial small subunit ribosomal RNA
Source: RNAcentral
UACGUAGGGUGCGAGCGUUAAUCGGAAUUACUGGGCGUAAAGCGUGCGCAGGCGGUUCUGUAAGUCAGAUGUGAAAUCCCCGGGCUUAACCUGGGAAUGGCAUUUGGGACUGCAAGGCUGGAGUUUGGCAGAGGAGACUGGAAUUCCUGGUGUAGCAGUGAAAUGCGUAGAUAUCAGGAGGAAUACCGAUGGCGAAGGCGGCGACCUGGGCCAAUACUGACGCUGAGGUGCGAAAGCGUGGGGAGCAAACAGG